UGAGGAAUAUUGGUCAAUGGACGAGAGUCUGAACCAGCCAAGUAGCGUGAAGGAUGACUGCCCUAUGGGUUGUAAACUUCUUUUAUAAGGGAAUAAAGUGAGGGACGUGUCCCUUUUUGUAUGUACCUUAUGAAUAAGGAUCGGCUAACUCCGUGCCAGCAGCCGCGGUAAUACGGAGGAUCCGAGCGUUAUCCGGAUUUCAUGGGUUUAAAGGGAGCGUAGGUUGACGUAUAAGUCAGCUGGGAAAGUUUACGGCUCAACCGUGAAAUUGCAGUUGAUACUGUAUGUCUUGAGUGUACAAGAGGUGGGCGGAAUUCGUGGUGUAGCGGUGAAAUGCUUAGAUAUCACGAAGAACUCCAAUUGCGAAGGCAGCUCACUGGGGUACAACUGACACUGAGGCUCGAAAGUGUGGGUAUCAAACA
Molecule: ribosomal RNA, 422 nt
Filed under: uncultured prokaryote
Description: bacterial SSU rRNA
Rfam family: Bacterial small subunit ribosomal RNA
Source: RNAcentral